UACAGAGGGGGCAAGCGUUAUUCGGAAUUAUUGGGCGUAAAGGGCGCGUAGGCGGCCUGGCAAGUGACGGGUGAAAGCCCUCGGCUUAACCGAGGAACUGCCUGUCAGACUGUUAGGCUUGAGACCGGGAGAGGUGAGUGGAAUUCCCAGUGUAGCGGUGAAAUGCGUAGAUAUUGGGAGGAACACCAGUGGCGAAGGCGGCUCACUGGCCCGGUACUGACGCUGAGGUGCGAAAGCGUGGGGAGCAAACAGG
This 253-nucleotide ribosomal RNA is filed under the name uncultured bacterium. RNAcentral's name for it is "partial 16S ribosomal RNA". It matches the Rfam family "Bacterial small subunit ribosomal RNA", at positions 524 to 776 of the family's 1533-position model. The record is from RNAcentral.